Long non-coding RNA from Mytilus californianus (California mussel), 676 nucleotides. RefSeq lists it as uncharacterized. Lineage: Eukaryota; Metazoa; Mollusca; Bivalvia; Mytilida; Mytilidae. The record is from RefSeq and is a predicted model, not a curated record. The transcript is spliced from 3 exons.
AAGGAUGUCUAGGAGAAGAAAACUCUGAUAUGAAAUUUUUGGUAGAUUUGACUCGUCAGCCUUGGUCUGCAAUUGAUCUAAAGGAAAAAAAGCUUGAGUAAAGAUUCUCUGGUUCUCCAGGUUUGGGAUUGAGAGAUAUGCCAACAACCUAUCCUUGUAAAAAGGAAGAAUGAUUAUAUACCAAUUAAUCUCCCAGAUGAGGAACAUCACAACCGGGUCUGCAUGAAGCUUUAACAUUCAAAAGACAAGUUAUCCUGGAUAUUUUGAAAACACGUAAAUGGUUUACUGAAGGAAAAUCGAAGGAAAGUAGGACCUGGAUGUAAAAUAAUACCAACUUUAAGACAAAGCGUGCUUGUUAAUUUAGAAAUCAACUGAAGCAGAAGAAUGGAUUCUGUUGAUCUGAGGAACUUGGAAACACUUAUUGACAAGAAAAAUAUGUAGUAAUACAAUUAUGUUUAAAGAGAGAGAUAGAAAGAGGGGGGAGAGCCAGUUGUAAAGAUUUAUUCUUUUAAACCAGAUAUGUUGAUUACAUUCGAAUUUCAUAGGCCUACAGUUCCCCCCUAAAUGGUCUUAGUUAAUACAUGUACUAGGUGUUUAAUGUAAGACUUUGAUGUGACUUGUGAGAACAAUCAGCUGCCAUUGGUUUAAAUCUAUUUUUAUGCCCUUUCAGUUUGGG